AAUUUCAUCGUGAUGGGGAUAGAUCAUUGCAAUUGUUGGUCUUCAACGAGGAAUGCCUAGUAAGCGCGAGUCAUCAGCUCGCGUUGACUACGUCCCUGCCCUUUGUACACACCGCCCGUCGCUCCUACCGAUUGAAUGGUCCGGUGAAGUGUUCGGAUCGCGGCGACGGGGGCGGUUCGCCGCCCCCGACGUCGCGAGAAGUCCAUUGAACCUUAUCAUUUAGAGAAGGAGAAGUCGUAACAAGGUUUCCGUAGGUGAACCUGCGGAAGGAUCAUUG
Molecule: ribosomal RNA, 277 nt
Filed under: Calamagrostis pseudophragmites subsp. tartarica
Lineage: Eukaryota; Viridiplantae; Streptophyta; Magnoliopsida; Poales; Poaceae
Description: partial 18S ribosomal RNA
Rfam family: Eukaryotic small subunit ribosomal RNA
Source: RNAcentral